Long non-coding RNA from Dalotia coriaria, 1329 nucleotides. RefSeq lists it as uncharacterized. The record is from RefSeq and is a predicted model, not a curated record. The transcript has 2 exons. Lineage: Eukaryota; Metazoa; Arthropoda; Insecta; Coleoptera; Staphylinidae.
CAUCAGAUCACUUUGUGUUCGAAAAUAGUUCGUCACAACGGACGGUUCCACCAAAAAUCAAUUUCAUCACUUUUCUGAUGUAAGAGUUUCGCAGGGAACAGCUUCACUUUGAUUGAUUACCGGAUUUACUUCAAAAUGUUUAAUUUUUUAUCGAGGCCUUACGGAGAUCUGGAAGCAGAUUCAAAAUUCAUUCAUUCAUUUUACCAGACGCGUCUACGAGACUUGAGCAGAAUGGAGAGCAAGAGAAGAUUUAUAAAUUCCUCUUCAUCAUCAUUUUUGUUUCAUAAAAGAAUAAAUUUGUUAACAAUCUAACGUAAGGACAAAGACAUUUUAGUUCCAAUUUUAACUGCACUAAUUUCUUGAUUCUAAUUUUUGUUCCAAAAUAUUUAAUUUGGUCAGAAGAUAUGUACAAGGCUUUGUGUUUAACGUAUAAUAGUGCCAAGUACUAAAAAAGUAGCUUUAUAUUUAAUAUUCGGGGUAAAUUGCUUGCUAAAAUGUUUGUUCUAAAUCUAAAUGAGUUAAAGAACAGCGCAUGACUUUUAUUGGGAAGAAAAUUAAUUGAUAUAAGAUUUCUAUCGCCCCAUUUGUAAUGUAAGAAUCAUGAUCUUAGUUUGCAUUUUUAAUGUGUAAUUCUGUCUUACUCUGAAGAUAAGUUCGUUUGUUUUAAAUUCAGGUUUAUGAUAUUUUAAAGCUUAAUUCGGGCAUUCACACAGAGAAAUUAAAUGAUAAUUGAUGUCAAUGCUAAUGGAGAUAAAAAGUGUAAUGAAAAAUGAACAAGUAUUUAUAAUCGAUGUACUAAGUGUUAAUAUUUGUAUUAAAUAUGUGUGUUCUUUGUGGGAUUUGUGUGUUCAGUCCUAGAGAAUAGUUACAUAUAGUAUUAAUGUUGUUCUUUGUUACUUCUAUGUAUUUAGUUCCAUUCAGUUUUACUUUUGUCCAGAUUAUUCUUCUUGCACUUUAGUUGUGUUGUUUUAUUCUGUGCUCCACACUAACUUAAUGCCUAGUAAGAUAGACAUCGUUUUUCUAGUGUUGUGUUUAGAAGCAUGUUGGAAAUGUAUGUUUUCGAAAAGUAGUAUUACAUUUGUAUUUAAUACAACGUUAUACCUGGGUAUUUGUUUAAAUAUGUAGAUGUUUAUUGUUGUUUCUCUUGUGUGCAAAUCUUUCUGCGUUUAUGUUUUAGUAUUAGUGUGCACGUUUCUACUGUAACCUGUUAGAAACAUGUUUUAAUCUGUAGAUAUAUUGUAUUGACAUCGUCAUUGGCACUUGUGUUGUGUUUAUAAAUGUAACUCAUGUUAUAUGUAAAUAUAGAAUCGAUGUAAAUCUACCUAUAAA